RNAcentral lists this non-coding RNA (210 nucleotides) under Heyndrickxia sporothermodurans. RNAcentral describes it as "Bacillus sporothermodurans T-box sequence". It matches the Rfam family "T-box leader". From Rfam's summary of the family: Uncharged tRNA acts as the effector for transcription antitermination of genes in the T-box leader family. T-boxes are found upstream of many aminoacyl-tRNA synthetase genes and some amino acid biosynthetic genes usually in Gram-positive bacteria. Lineage: Bacteria; Bacillati; Bacillota; Bacilli; Caryophanales; Bacillaceae. The record is from RNAcentral.
AACAAAGUGAUGAUGAAGAUGGUUUGAAGAUACGAGCUUAAGAAAGUCGGUGGUUGCUGUGAACCGAUGCUUUUUCUUCACAAAACCGAGCACUUCUGAACUGGACAGUUGAAUGAAAUAGUAGGCUGUCACGGCUUAAUGUCGUUAUUUUUCUCUGAGGUUACGUUUUGUAACAAAAGAGGGUGGCACCACGUAUAUGACGUCCCUCAU